Molecule: long non-coding RNA, 1325 nt
Organism: Trachemys scripta elegans
Lineage: Eukaryota; Metazoa; Chordata; Testudines; Emydidae
Exons: 3
Source: RefSeq, a predicted model, not a curated record
AGCAGUUCCGUCACUGCCACAAACUAAGCCAGCCAGGAAGAGCUCCUCAGGCGAGAACGGAGAGCUGCUGAUGGUAUUGGAGGGGGUGGCAGGAUGUAGCCCGAUGCCUGUCCAGACUACCCAAGAAUGUGUGUUCUGCAGUGUUACUGUUGCCCAGCAGGAAGAAGACCGCUACAAACUGAUGCUGAACAGGAUCGACAGUGAGAAUAUUGCCAGUAACUAUUUCCGGUCCAAGUGAGCCAGCCAGAUCCUCAGUGCUGAUCCUACAAAGAGUCUUCCUAAAUAUCUGACACUCCUCCUUUCCUUUUGUCCAUUUACCUGUAUCUCCUCCAGUGGGGUGCCAUUCCAUCUGCCAAGCUCAGCACCUCUCAUACCCCCUUAAGAUGGUUGAAGGAUAUGAAAGACACAAUCAGCCGGCUGAUGCGCUGAUCUCUCCAGCCCUACGCAUUCCAAGUUCAGGAUAGGACAGGCAAAGCUCCCCAGAACACUGACUUUCUCCAGGGAACACGGGGGAGCAAUGCGAUGGCUCAAGUUCUUCUGGCUCCAUCUUGGGGGGAGGGUUUGUGAUUGGGUGCACAAACCCCAUACUGAGCAACAAGGGGCUAAGGAAAUACUCUGGCCUAGCCAGCCCCGCCGCAUCUGUGGCAAAUGCGCCAACAUGAGGAGGGGGUAAAAGGCAGGGGAGCAGCUCAUUUUGUGGCAGACCAGGGAGGAGAGCAGACAUGCUUCCGGCAGCUCCAGGAGAGACGAGCUGAGGGAAGUCAGAAUCUCCCCCUAAACAACUGUCCAAAGGUCCCUCCCUGAGGAAAGGGGAGGCCUGCUUCAGGGACAGCCUGAGAGAGAAGCACUCCCCUCUCCCUGUCAUAUGAACUCUAGCCUUGAUUGAGCCCCUUGAUUUGCUGUUUGGACCCCCCAGCAGGGGGAAGUCCUUGGACUGAGCUGGCUUCGGGAGACUGGGCCAUACCACAGGAGGAGGCAGUUGCCACCCGAGAGGAAAGGAGAAUGACCUCACUCCAUGCAGCCGCCAGAUGGUGCCAUGGGGUGAGCAGACAACCCUCACGCUGCUUUACCCCAGACAGUGACCUUGGGACAGUUGCAGGGAGGUGGUAGGAAGUGGCCUUAAGCAUCCUGAGCUGUCAGAGCACUGAUAGCCAUACAGAGCCUGCUCCAGUUUUUUUGCUGCCCCAAGCACAUGCUUGGGAGGCUGGUGCCUAGAGCCGGCCCUGUACCCAUAGAUGCCGACCCCAUGGGUGCUCAGCAUGCACCAGCCACAAUGGUUCAGGCCUGGGCUGGCUGCUGAUCAGCUGUUUGGCGGGCCCUGGGGC